This 301-nucleotide ribosomal RNA is filed under the name uncultured bacterium. Its description in RNAcentral is "partial 16S ribosomal RNA". It matches the Rfam family "Bacterial small subunit ribosomal RNA", at positions 509 to 807 of the family's 1533-position model. The record is from RNAcentral.
CAGCAGCCGCGGGAAUACAGAGGGUGCGAGCGUUAAUCGGAUUUACUGGGCGUAAAGCGUGCGUAGGCGGCUUUUUAAGUCGGAUGUGAAAUCCCUGAGCUUAACUUAGGAAUUGCAUUCGAUACUGGGAAGCUAGAGUAUGGGAGAGGAUGGUAGAAUUCUAGGUGUAGCGGUGAAAUGCGUAGAGAUCUGGAGGAAUACCGAUGGCGAAGGCAGCCAUCUGGCCUAAUACUGACGCUGAGGUACGAAAGCAUGGGGAGCAAACAGGAUUAGAUACCCCCGUAGUCCCUGUCUCUUAUAC